RNAcentral lists this unclassified non-coding RNA (153 nucleotides) under uncultured Dothideomycetes. Its description in RNAcentral is "sequence contains ITS1". Lineage: Eukaryota; Fungi; Ascomycota; Dothideomycetes. The record is from RNAcentral.
CCGAGUGAGGGCGUCCGACGCCCGACCUCCAACCCUUUGUCGAUUGAACCUUUGUUGCCUCGGGGACGACCCGGCCCUCCGUGGGCGUCGGGGCCCCCGGUGGACCAUCCAACUCUGCAUCUGUGCGUCGGAGUCAUAAAGUAAAUUGAAUCA